GUUUGUGGGUAACUUCACUGCAAACCCUCACGAGACAACACUCGUCCACUAGGGUAACCUAGGGGUUUAAAGGCUUGUUGCACGUGCUAAGUGCAAUCGUAAUGCUCUACGAAAAUGAGUAUUUAUUUUACUAUUUUUAAAUAAUAAAUUACACUUUUGCACUCUCAUUUUAUCAUUUUCACACUAAAUUGCUAGAGACUAGCAAUAAGCUAGUUGGGGGGUGUGAUGAGAGCACAAAAGUGCGACCUACAUGUCACCUAAAUUAGUAUUAUUGCUAACCGAUAAUGAUAAAUUCACUGGAUUAAUAUUAUAUUUGGGUUUGGCACAGAUUUUCAUAAAUUAGAAAUAAAAUGCACAUUAAGUACAAAUUUGACUAAAAAAGGAGCCCUUCCCAGAUCUGACCCGGUUGAAGAUCGGGUCGGGUCCGAGUCGGGUUUGGGUCCGAAU
RNAcentral lists this long non-coding RNA (447 nucleotides) under Phoenix dactylifera (date palm). Its description in RNAcentral is "long non-coding RNA (PDAC_LNC015171)". The record is from RNAcentral. Lineage: Eukaryota; Viridiplantae; Streptophyta; Magnoliopsida; Arecales; Arecaceae.